AGUGAACGCUGGCGGUAGGCCUAACACAUGCAAGUCGAACGGCAGCACAGUAAGAGCUUGCUCUUACGGGUGGCGAGUGGCGGACGGGUGAGGAAUACAUCGGAAUCUACUUUUUCGUGGGGGAUAACGUAGGGAAACUUACGCUAAUACCGCAUACGACCUACGGGUGAAAGCAGGGGAUCUUCGGACCUUGCGCGAUUGAAUGAGCCGAUGUCGGAUUAGCUAGUUGGCGGGGUAAAGGCCCACCAAGGCGACGAUCCGUAGCUGGUCUGAGAGGAUGAUCAGCCACACUGGAACUGGGACACGGUCCAGACUCCUACGGGAGGCAGCAGUGGGGAAUAUUGGACAAUGGGCGCAAGCCUGAUCCAGCCAUACCGCGUGGGUGAAGAAGGCCUUCGGGUUGUAAAGCCCUUUUGUUGGGAAAGAAAAGCAGCAGGUUAAUACCCCGCUGUGCUGACGGUACCCAAAGAAUAAGCACCGGCUAACUUCGUG
This 492-nucleotide ribosomal RNA is filed under the name uncultured bacterium. Its description in RNAcentral is "partial 16S ribosomal RNA". It matches the Rfam family "Bacterial small subunit ribosomal RNA", at positions 29 to 507 of the family's 1533-position model. The record is from RNAcentral.